RNAcentral lists this ribosomal RNA (441 nucleotides) under uncultured bacterium. RNAcentral describes it as "partial 16S ribosomal RNA". It matches the Rfam family "Bacterial small subunit ribosomal RNA", at positions 338 to 795 of the family's 1533-position model. The record is from RNAcentral.
CCUACGGGAGGCAGCAGUGGGGAAUCUUGCACAAUGGGGGAAACCCUGAUGCAGCAACGCCGCGUGAAGGAAGACGGUUUUCGGAUUGUACACUUCUGUUCUUAUUGAAGAAUAAUGACGGUAGCUAAGGAGCAAACCACGGCUAACUACGUGCCAGCAGCCGCGGUAAUACGUAGGUGGCAGGCGUUGUCCUGUAUUACUGGGUGUAAAGUGAGCGCAGGCGGGAAGCGAUGUCAGCUGUGAAAGCUACGGGCUUAACUUGUGGACUGCAGAUGAAACUGGUUUACUAGAGUGAAGUAGAGGUUGGCGGAAGUCCGAGUGUAGCAGUGAAAUGCGUAGAUAUGCGGAGGAACACCGGUGGCGAAGGCGGCCAACUGGGCUUUAACUGACGCUGAGGCUCGAAAGUGAGGGGAGCAAAAAGGAUUAGAUACCCCAGUAGUC